Molecule: non-coding RNA, 43 nt
Filed under: Schistosoma haematobium
Lineage: Eukaryota; Metazoa; Platyhelminthes; Trematoda; Strigeidida; Schistosomatidae
Source: RNAcentral
AUUCAGCUGGAGUCCCAAAUAGGACGAAACUAGCGUCCUAGAU